RNAcentral lists this long non-coding RNA (2588 nucleotides) under Homo sapiens (human). RNAcentral's name for it is "non-protein coding lnc-SFPQ-2:6". Lineage: Eukaryota; Metazoa; Chordata; Mammalia; Primates; Hominidae. The record is from RNAcentral.
GACUUGACUACAGUCGAAUACAUGUUGGGAAUCAUUCCCAAUCAUAAGACAUCGUCGUUUCUGUAGGAUGACUGCAUAUGUUCAGAGUAGCUUUUUGAAUUUGGUUCCCUUAGCUUUAGGGAUGUGAUGUUAUAGUCCAAAAUGUUUACAAGAAAACCUAAGUCUUCAAAAGCACAACUUUUGUUGCUUAGGACUUUGCAUCAACUGUUGUUCCAGACCUCACUUCAACUUCUUGGUCUCUGAACUGGUUUUAGCUAGCAUGCAUGAGAGACAGUUUUCAUGUAUAAUGUUUCUGCUCUGUAACUGGAAAGUGGUUUACUUUGCAUAAAUGCUGAUGAAAACUUCAUGACUAUGAGACUUUUCUUCUGUGUAUCAAGAAAAAGCUUGCUCGUUGGCAAGCAAUUCACAAGGUGGGGACAGACUUGUACUUUAACAUGUAGUCCAUUCAAGCAAACAACUUUGGACUCUACUGAUAGAUGAAAGAGCAAAUGAUGACUAGUUUAGCCUCUGCAUAUCAACAAUAUAAUGCAGAUCAAGUAUAAUGCUCAAUAUUAGUGACAUGAGUAUCACUAAAUUACAUAGAACCCUGAUGGGGUUUCCUGUGUCGUAAUCCAUUAAAUCGGUGGCCAGUGCUUGCUGCCGUGGUUUAGUGAUUGGGUGUUAGAAAUAAAAACUCAGGUCUAUUUCUUACCAGUCAGUAACAAUUUUUAGAGAAUGUACUUGGUAUAUAAUAUAUGGACUUCAGGAACUUUAUUGGGGUGGGGGGUUAAUUUUGCCUUACCCUGUUCACUUUCAGAUGAUUAGGCUUUUGCACUUUAGAAUGAGAAACUUGUGACGUUAGUGUGUUCUUACUAGCUUUAAUUUGUAUGUAGCAAUGAAUUGUGAAUCUUAGUGCAGUGGGUUUUUUUAAAAAACUCAAAAAGCUGGGAAUUAAGUGGUUUCAGUAAUAAUGCUAUACCGAGGUGCUUGCAUUGUAUUUCAUAAUUUUGUUACAAACCAAAAUUAUUUUUAAUGAGAACAGUCUUGGGUUCAGAGGUGUGAUGCCAGAAUGUAUUUUCGUACUGUUAGGCCCUUGGAACAGAUACCGGUGCUUUCUGAAAGAUGAAAGAAAUGCAAUGGGUGCUCUUCAUGCAAGGUUGCAAACCUACCAAGAAUGCAUAAUAGUCUCACUUUUCCCCAAUAAAGAGAUGCGUGUGACUAGUUUUGGACUUUUAACCUUAAUGGGGGUUGCAUGUCUCCUAUUGUUAAUCAUUGUCAGCUGCAGUGACAUGAUCCACAGUCCUGCAUUUACUGCCUUUCACUUAAUGAUUUUGGACAGGUUUUAGAGAGCCAGGAUGUUGGUCUGGGCCUUUAUUUGGUUUUGGCUUUAGCUGAUAAUGUUUUAGUGAUGUCAGCUAGUGCAGUUCUCAAAUGGCUGCCUAUUAGGGAAAGAAUUCAGAGGAUUUGACUGCUCCUAAUCAUCUGUCAUUGCUGCUAGAUAAUGAUUGGCAAUUUUUAAGACUCAACUGGAAAUCUCAACAGUUGCUGGUAAACCAUUAACCAUAAAAACGUUGCUUUUGAACACCAGUGCUGAAAAAAAUAUUUUUUUUUUUUUUUUUGAGAGUGAAAAGGGCUUGGACUUAAGAUAGGACAAUGUGGAGAAUGGGGGGAAGAAUGCAAAACGAUAUAGUAUCCCUUAUGGAUGGUACAUGUGCAACAGGGAACUCUUACUUCAUAUACCCUUUGCAGUAAUCAUUCAGGGAGGAAGAAAAACCUGGAACUUGAAUGAAGGCUGAUCUUUGUUUUGUGCACUGUGGCCCUGCCAGGCAUAUAGUGAAGGUGAAUGUCUUCUCCCUCAGAAAAAAAUUGGUUCCUUGCUGUCCCAGUAAGGCAUAGCUUUUCCAGCCCUAACUUUAAAACUCAGUGAGGACUUAGAUGGGAAAGAAUGAGGUAAAUACAAAGGAUUGCAGGACAACAACUACAGCGUUGUGUACUGUGGGAAGGGGAGUUGGGCACUCUUGGAGGACUCCUGCUGAAGGUGGUCAGCCUGCCUGACAAUGGAAGACAUACUUGAAUGGGGAGCAGGGUAUGUGCUUUCAUAUGAAAAAAGAGCUGAUGUUAAAACUCAUUUGGUGAGGUCAACGUUGUCACAUACCUUCACAUAAGGGAUAGUAUAUUUUGGGUUGCAGUCAAACUUGUGCUCAGACUGGUGAAACUGAGAGUCAGGCUUUUACAUUUUAAAGAAAAUACAGUUUUCAUUCUAAUUCAGGUGUCUACUUAUUUUAUGUAAGAAUAAUUUUAGAUUUCCCCCCCACCAUGAAGUUUCUUCCUAUUUUUUUAUGCUGUAACUUACCCCCAAUCUUUAUCUCUGGAUUUUUACUCUUUAAAUUUUGAAGUUGACUAGCAUUUUCAAACCUUUAUUUUAUACCCUUGUCUUUUAUAUUAACUUUUUCUUAUUAUUCUUUAGGUAAGAAUGAUUGAUGUUGGCUGAUAUUGGAGUGCUCAUUCACAUGAACAGGAUCAGGUGAGCUGUGUCCAGAAAACCAACGAGAAGGAGUGGAAGGAGGAAUGAACGUUUCAUUCUCGUUAAUAAAGGCAUUAUCCUAAUU